Molecule: ribosomal RNA, 231 nt
Filed under: uncultured bacterium
Lineage: Bacteria
Description: partial 16S ribosomal RNA
Rfam family: Bacterial small subunit ribosomal RNA
Source: RNAcentral
GAUCAUGGCUCAGGAUGAACGCUAGCUACAGGCUUAACACACGCAAGUCGAGGGGCAGCAUGGUCUUAGCUUGCUAAGACCGAUGGCGACCGGCGCACGGGUGAGUAACGCGUAUCCAACCUGCCUUACACUCUUGGACAGCCUUCUGAAAGGGAGAUUAAUACAAGAUGUUAUCAUGAGUAAGCAUUUUCGCAUGAUUAAAGGUUUACCGGUGUAAGAUGGGGAUGCGUU